UGGAGAAGUAAUACAGAGGCGA
Molecule: non-coding RNA, 22 nt
Filed under: Arabidopsis thaliana (thale cress)
Lineage: Eukaryota; Viridiplantae; Streptophyta; Magnoliopsida; Brassicales; Brassicaceae
Source: RNAcentral